CCGUGGUUCCUCCAUUUGUUGCAUGCUGUUCACUUGUUACCUGCUGUAAAUUGGGUGCUGCUCACUUGUUAUCUGCUUUAAAUAUCAGACUUGUUAACUCGUGCCCCAUUUGUUGUCUGUGCGGAAAUUUUCCAUUCUGUGCAGUGUAUAUUGGUAGCUGUGUACUCCAUCUCUAUGUUCUACUAAUUGCGUAGUUUCCACUUGCCACAAUUGUAUAGUUGCUGCUUGCCAUUUCCUUCCGAGUGACUGUGACAUUGUGUCCUCGAAGCAAAUUCGUCCAUUGAGUGUAGAUCUGUAUGCUCUCCUGUGUAUCUAAUCGAAUGUUUUAUAGAUGCCCAAAAUCCAAAGCAAGUCUAUGUUUACUAGAUUAGAGUUUUGAGAAUUAGCAGAAUAAGAAGACUGGAAGAAUAAAGAAGUAACUAAAAAUUGCACCUACUAGCAUUUCUGGUUAACUUAUUUUAAAUUGGUUUGGCAACAAAAAGUAUAGGCAUGGCCAAAACUCCACUUCUGCAUAAAUUGUUGGCGCAAUUACUUAACUAAGUCUAAAUGAAGAUUUUGUGCUGCUAUUAACUUGCAAAAUGAUUUGUAAUAUACCCACACAAUAAAUAUUUAUAACAUACCCACACAAUAAAUUGGUGGUACUGAUUAUGUUGCUAGUUUUGAUCAGGAAUGUUGUAUGUUGGUUCUCACUUCUAGUUUUUAUCAGGAUGAACUGGAAACAUAGUACUUGCGUGGAUAUAAAAUGAGAUAUUUUGGUUAUACUGAAUGUCUGUUCUCGCUGUAUGACUUUAGAAGUUAAUAGCAAUUUGGGCUCUUAAACCAGAGAUCUUGGUUGAUAUCUUAUUUUCUAUUGUACGAUAGUGUGGCUUCGCGAGUCCAUCUAAAUAGCGCAGAUCAUAUCGAUACUUGGAAUACUCCCCCUCUGUUUCCUAUCUACAGUGCGCACACAUUAAUAUUGUCUGUAGCUCCUCUUACUGCUUUCCAACCAUUAUAUUUCCCAGUUGCAACUUGAUGAAAGGCUGUUUCGUUGAUCUUUUCUUGAAUUUGUGUACUUUGUAAAUUGCAAUCUUAUUCAGACAUUAAUCUGUGCCUGAGUUGUUUGUGUUAAGAAUUUGGCCGAGUCCAUACUUUCGAACAAUUAUGGCGCCCAACAUGUCUGACCCAGUGGAGUGUACUUGAGUUGGCACCGUUCUAGGUAUUGAUCGUGCUGGUAGCUUCUGCACUUUAUUUUUUAUAGUUCAGAUGAUGGAGCACUCUGGGGUGAACUACAUUCUUGUGUGUUAACUGUCUUUAGCUUCUCUUGUUAAUAAUUUCUUUCACGAACAUUCUAGUUGCAACUUGCAAGGCUGUUCUGUUAAGCUCUUGUUCUUGAAUUUGUUUACUUGCAAGUUGCAACCUUAUCCCGAGCUCAACUUCUGAAUAGUGUACUGGGCUGGUUUUUGCUACUAGUCAGGUUAAGAAAUAUUGUGGCACCACCUUAUCCAGGGCGUUCUAAAUAAUCUUUCAAGUAUUGCCAGUCAGGUCAAGUAAAUAGUGUGCCACCAUCCCAGUAGAUGAGGAAAAAAUGAUGCUUGACUUCUUUUUAGUACUAGCACAGUGCUUGUGCGUUGCUACGCGGAAGUUUGGUGUUUUAGCUAAACUGUCAAGUGCAUAUUUCUAGAAACUCUGAAGUUAGCAAUCUUAUUAGUACAGAUUUCUUAAGAUGAGGGAACAUCCCUGGUAUUGCUUGGUCAUGUGCUAUGGCCUAAUGCAUGUAACAUGUGUGCGCGAUGUGCUAGCUUGCUUCAAUUGAACUGUGUAUUACUUCACCUUAGGACGUCGGAGUGCCCCCCUUAGCCUUAGGACGCCUUUGGCGCCUUUAAAACCAUGAGUUUGUGCUUACUUCAAUUGAACUGUGUAUUACUUCUUUUCAGUGUUAGUCAUGGUUAUUUGAGAAGCAGCAUCUGAGAACACCUAGUUGUAAAUAUUUCAUAGUCUAUUGCUUCUCAAUAUAAUGUUCUACCUUCUCCUGUUUUCAUUUUAUGUUUGUAAAGCAGAGUCUUAGAAUACCUAGUUCUGUUCACUCUAUGUUUCUACACUUGUGCAAUAAAAGAAUGUAUACAUUCUGUCUAUGUUGAUUUAUUGUAGGCACCGGAGGACAAGUCUGUGCUUCUUCACUGCCGCUAGGUGGGCGCCCGCUCAUCUUCUUGUUAGAUAUUGCAUUCACAUGUGGUAUUUCAAGGAAAUUAUCCCUUUUACAAGAGCUACAAGCUGAAGAAGUUAAUAGAAAGCCUGAAGAAGUUCCAGGGUAUCAGAAGGGUAGCCAGCUUUUAUACUUGCUGAGCGUUUUAGUUGGAUAGCAUUGUAUUGUGUUAUGCAAUAUUAUAUGGUUAUCUGGGUGAGGCCUUAAGAAUUUCCAGGGUAUCAACGAUUUGGAUAGCUAGAGUAGAAUUUCAUGUGUUUCCUAUUUGUCGUGACUAGGAUAUUGUAAUUGUAAGUAUAACAAAUUGAUUUUGGCAGCUAUUUGAAGAUUUUAA
Lolium rigidum is the source of this 2516-nucleotide long non-coding RNA. RefSeq lists it as uncharacterized. The transcript has 2 exons. NCBI's taxonomy places the organism in Eukaryota, Viridiplantae, Streptophyta, Magnoliopsida, Poales, Poaceae. The record is from RefSeq and is a predicted model, not a curated record.